ACGCUGGCGGCAUGGCUAAAACAUGCAAGUCGAACGAUCCCUUCGGGGAGAGUGGCGAAAGGGCGAGGAAUAGCAUCGAAUGUACCCCAAGGUAAAGGAUAGCUUCUGGAAACGGAAGGUAAUACUUUAUGUGCUCUAUGGAGUAAAGGUUUACCGCCUUGGGAGCAGCGAUUCUCCUAUCAGGUAGUUGGUGAGGUAACGGCUCACCAAGCCGAAGACGGGUAGCGGGUGUGAGAGCAUGACCCGCCGCAUCGGGACUGAGACACUGCCCGGACUCCUACGGGAGGCUGCAGUAACGAAUCUUCCGCAAUGGGCGAAAGCCUGACGGAGCAAUGCCGCGUGUGGGAUCAAGCAUCUUCGAUGUGUAAACCACUGUCAGGGUCUAGGAAUACUGACCAGACCCAGAGGAAGGGCCGGCUAAUUCAGUGCCAGCAGCCGCGGUAAUACUGAAGGCCCGAGCGUUAAUCGGAAUCACUGGGCUUAAAGCGUACGCAGGCGGACUUGUAGGUAUUUUGUGAAAUCCCACGGCUUAACCGUGGAACUGCAGAGUAAACCACAAGUCUUGAGACAUGUAGGGGUCAGUGGAACGAUGUGUGGAGCGGUGAAAUGCGUAGAUAUACAUCGGAACGCCAAUGGCGAAGGCAGCUGACUGGGCAUGUUCUGACGCUCAGGUACGAAAGCGUGGGUAGCGAACGGGAUUAGAUACCCCGGUAGUCCACGCCGUAAACGAUGCACACUAGAUCGUGGGAUCUCUCAUGAUUUCACGGUCGAAGGUAAACUGGUAAGUGUGCCGCCUGGGGAGUACGGUCGCAAGGCUAAAACUCAAAGGAAUUGACGGGGGCUCACACAAGCGGUGGAGCAUGUUGCUUAAUUCGAGGCAACGCGAAGAACCUUACCUGGGCUUGACAUGUAUGGAUUAGCU
Molecule: ribosomal RNA, 922 nt
Filed under: uncultured Planctomycetota bacterium
Lineage: Bacteria; Pseudomonadati; Planctomycetota
Description: bacterial SSU rRNA
Rfam family: Bacterial small subunit ribosomal RNA
Source: RNAcentral